RNAcentral lists this long non-coding RNA (288 nucleotides) under Carica papaya (papaya). Its description in RNAcentral is "long non-coding RNA (CPAP_LNC001337)". Lineage: Eukaryota; Viridiplantae; Streptophyta; Magnoliopsida; Brassicales; Caricaceae. The record is from RNAcentral.
GCAUGGAAAUCGUAUUAGAAAAUAAUAAGAAGUGUCCAACCAAGUGCACAGGCUUGCUGCUGCGGGCAUGUGGCGCGCACUUGAGGCCUCCUCAUGCGCACGUACAACAAUGGUUGUCUGCACAAGCGCACUCCUACGUGUGUUUUGUUGCACGCAAUAGCUGCUUCCCUGCACCUGCGUGCGACACAUUUCUGCAUGUGCGUGUCUUCCCAAGCUAGGACAUGGGUUGGCCUUUUUCUUUUGGGCGCAAUCUCCUUCGGUCGUGACCCACUUUGGUCGUAUGGCCUU